CGCGUAGGUGGUUUGUUAAGCGAGAUGUGAAAGCCCCGGGCUUAACCUGGGAACGGCAUUUCGAACUGGCAGGCUAGAGUGUGGUAGAGGGUAGUGGAAUUUCCUGUGUAGCGGUGAAAUGCGUAGAUAUAGGAAGGAACACCAGUGGCGAAGGCGGCUACCUGGACCAACACUGACACUGAGGCGCGAAAGCGAGGGGAGCAAACA
This 207-nucleotide ribosomal RNA is filed under the name uncultured bacterium. RNAcentral describes it as "partial 16S ribosomal RNA". It matches the Rfam family "Bacterial small subunit ribosomal RNA", at positions 568 to 774 of the family's 1533-position model. The record is from RNAcentral.